AGCGUCAAUUCUGAAAGUUCUAAAUUUCCAACAAAAUAACUUGACAUCUCAUUGCAUUUCUCAAACAACAGUUCAAAAUCUCAAAAACACAAUGCUAGCCAUAUCAGAUAAUUUCAAUUUAAAAAUUUGCAUAUUUCAGUACUUCAGUGGUAGGCGAUUAUAUCAAUACAAUCAAGACGGCUUUUUUAUUUAAGUUUUGAUUGAUAACAAGCUUUUUCGAACUACAAGUUUAUAAGUUAUCAAAGAGAAGCUUUUUUUGAUUGCCAGAUUCUCUAGAUUUCUAUGUUCAAGAGUAUUCAUGAUGAUUACCAGCUUGAUUUAAAUCAAAAUUAAAAUAGAAAGUCGUCUUCGUUGUAUUGAUAUAAUCGCCUACCACUCUAGCAAUUUUUUGUAGAUCUUGUAUGAAAAGCAAAGUGCGCGCUUAAAGGAAGCACAGGAAAGACUGACUGGCGAGGGACAUGCUGCGAUCAGCCAGGAACUACGAAUAGCUACACAGAAAAGCAGGAUUGCUGAGUUGGAAGGCAUGCUGAACCUGGCAACAGAAAAUACAAACAAUAUUAGACGUCAGAAUAUGUCACAUUUAGAAAAGGAGGAGCAACUUCGUCGAGAUAUUGAGCUAGGAGAUAAAGAAAUAGGACUACUUACAUCAGAGUUGGCUCAAACAGAAUCAAAACUUAUGAGAGCUCAGAAAAAAAUUGAUGAACUUAUGUUACAACAAAGAGAUCGUUGGGAACAGUUCUGCAG
Molecule: long non-coding RNA, 744 nt
Organism: Eurytemora carolleeae
Lineage: Eukaryota; Metazoa; Arthropoda; Copepoda; Calanoida; Temoridae
Exons: 4
Source: RefSeq, a predicted model, not a curated record